CCGAAAGAAAACAUGCAGAGUGCAGACCCGGUUUAUCGAUUUCCGACAUAGUUGAUGCCAACGCAGAAUACAGCUGAUUAUCUAAGCAGGAGAUUGAGCAACAUUACUUACGUAUCUCCUAAACAAAUCAUCAAAGUUAAAAGAUGCCAAAAUGUUUUGUAAAAAGAUGCCAAUCAAAACACGACAACAGAUACAAAACUCCUCUAGUCAGUCUACAUUGCUUUUCACAUUUACCCAAUAGAAUCAGAAAAUACUGGACAAUCAUUGUCAAAUUUAGAAAAUUUUGUUCAGAAAAUGAUGCAACUGAAAAGCACUGUCAAUUUACGGAUAUGUUCAAAACAUUUUACAGAUGAUAAUUUUGUAAUGAUUGGAUCACGAAAAACAUUGAAAAAAGAUGCAAUAUCUACAUUACACAUAAAUUUGGAACCUACAGCAGACCGACUACUUGCAGACGAAGAACCGUCAACAUCAGGUAUAAUGAGUGCCAGUCGCACUUUUACUACUACAUCUAUUGAUGAAGUGACAAGCGACUGUGAAGAUAUAAUGGAGAUAACUCCAGACCCUGGCAUUCCAUCUUGGAAAAUAGAUCACCAGUAUAACAUCAGUUUAACCACUAUGGAGAGUUUUGAAAAAGAACACAUUGAAACUUCACAUUCUACUGCACACAAAGAAUCACUUGGUAGAUCUAUUUUUUAUAAAGAAAUACAUACAUAAUAUAAACUUAUGAAUCAAAAUUGCCAUCAAAUUCACAUUUUUAACAUAUCUAUGUUAUCUCAUCUGAAAGCAUCUUUUAUACGAUCCAAAUAAGCAAUGCCUUACUAUAACAUUUAUUUCCAGAUAUACAAUCUCAUUCUAAAGUAGGGGAGGGGCCAGCCUGCAAAAAACUCUCACUUACCUCACCUGUCUAAUUUUGAAACUCGUCUCCUGCCUCUGGGGUUCUGGGAUACGACUCGUAAGAAGGGGAAAAGGAAGUAUGCAGUGACCCAUCCAAACAAGUUGGACGGGAGCGGAAGAGGCAGGAGCGGUAAUCUGCCCUAUAUGUUUGAGUGGCCUCUAGUAGGUACCCCCCUAUCCUGCUGUCCAUUCCUAUUCUCAACAUACAUAAUCCAAGGCUCACAGACCAUCAGGAACUGCUCUUUGUUGCCUAAUAUGUCAACUGAAGCACUACUCAUCUGAUAAUAAUAUUCAAUUUUGCUUCUAAUUAUUGAAAAUGACGGAAUCAUAGUUUUCCAGUAUCUUGCUAUGCUUAAUUUGGUUAUGGUGCAGAUGAUGGCCACCAAUUUAUUUGCCCUAGAAUUUAUGCCUGGAAGAGGAUCAUGCAGCAAAGCCUGGGUUGGGGUCAGUACGAAUGGCCUAUCUAGUACCUCGCUCAAUAGAGCCGAAGUUUGGGACCAAAUAUCAGAUACCUUACAGCAAUGCCACCACAUAUCUGGAUAUGUGCCCCUUUCCGUGCACCCUUGCCAACAGUUAGUGCUAGUAUGAACCCUAGUAUGUAUUCGAGAUGGAUGAAAGUACCAUCUAAAAGCUACUUUAACAAAUUUUUCUUUUAAAUGAGCGCAAAUUGAGACAGAGGUGCCCUUCCUUAAUAUGUUGCACCAUUUCUCGACUGACCAGUCAAAAUUAAAGUCAGAUUCCCAUUUUAGCAUAAACUGUAGUUUACUCAAUUUAGGAGGGGCAUUAAAUUGAAUAUAUAAGUUGGAAAUGGCACCUCUUGUACU
This is a long non-coding RNA of Bombina bombina (fire-bellied toad), 1718 nucleotides long. RefSeq lists it as uncharacterized. Lineage: Eukaryota; Metazoa; Chordata; Amphibia; Anura; Bombinatoridae. The record is from RefSeq and is a predicted model, not a curated record. The transcript is spliced from 3 exons.